This 222-nucleotide unclassified non-coding RNA is filed under the name uncultured fungus. RNAcentral's name for it is "partial contains 5.8S ribosomal RNA, internal transcribed spacer 2, and large subunit ribosomal RNA". The record is from RNAcentral. Lineage: Eukaryota; Fungi.
AACGCAACUUGCGCCGCUCUGUGGCAUGUCUGUUUGAGUAUCAAAUACCCUCUGUCGCAAGACGAGAUGUCUAGACGUGUAGUGCUGGACUAAAUGUAUUGAGAAUCAGCAGUCACUCUGCUCUGGUGCCGAGUUGGAGACCUUUGGUCUUGUCGGCUUCCUGGAUGCAGUCGGUGCACAAUUCUUGGUCUCAGAUCAGACAAGACUACCCGCUGAACUUAA